GAUCAUGGCUCAGGAUGAACGCUAGCGACAGGCCUAACACAUGCAAGUCGAGGGGCAGCGAAGAGGUAGCAAUACCUUUGUCGGCGACCGGCGCACGGGUGAGUAACACGUAUGCAAUCCACCUGUAACAGGGGGAUAACCCGGAGAAAUCCGGACUAAUACCCCAUAAUAUGGGCGCUCCGCAUGGAGAGCCCAUUAAAGAGAGCAAUUUUGGUUACAGACGAGCACCUGCGCUCCA
Molecule: ribosomal RNA, 238 nt
Filed under: uncultured bacterium
Lineage: Bacteria
Description: partial 16S ribosomal RNA
Rfam family: Bacterial small subunit ribosomal RNA
Source: RNAcentral